RNAcentral lists this ribosomal RNA (572 nucleotides) under metal-contaminated soil clone K20-51. Its description in RNAcentral is "bacterial SSU rRNA". It matches the Rfam family "Bacterial small subunit ribosomal RNA", at positions 53 to 645 of the family's 1533-position model. The record is from RNAcentral. Lineage: Bacteria; Pseudomonadati; Bacteroidota.
ACAUGCAAGUCGAACGGACGAUCAGGGCUUGCUCUGAUCGUUAGUGGCGGACGGCUGAGUAACGCGUGGGUGACCUGCCCCGAAGUGGGGAAUAACUGCCCGAAAGGGUGGCUAAUACCGCAUGUGGUGGUGCCUUCAUCGGCACCAGUAAAGCCGCAAGGCGCUUCGGGAGGGGCCUGCGUCCGAUUAGCUCGUUGGUGGGGUAAUGGCUCACCAAGGCGACGAUCGGUAGGUGGUCUGAGAGGACGAUCACCCAGACUGGGACUGAGACACGGCCCAGACUCCUACGGGAGGCAGCAGUCGGGAAUUUUGCGCAAUGGACGAAAGUCUGACGCAGCAACGCCGCGUGAGGGAUGACGGCCUUCGGGUUGUAAACCUCUUUUAUCAGGGAAGAUCAUGACGGUACCUGAUGAAUAAGCCACGGCUAACUACGUGCCAGCAGCCGCGGUAAUACGUAGGUGGCAAGCGUUGUCCGGAUUUACUGGGCGUAAAGAGCGCGCAGGCGGUCGUUCAAGUUGCGUGUGAAAGCCCCGGCUCAACUGGGGAGGGUCACGCGAUACUGAUCGACUCGA